RNAcentral lists this transfer RNA (72 nucleotides) under Bos taurus (domestic cattle). It matches the Rfam family "tRNA". From Rfam's summary of the family: Transfer RNA (tRNA) molecules are approximately 80 nucleotides in length. Lineage: Eukaryota; Metazoa; Chordata; Mammalia; Artiodactyla; Bovidae. The record is from Rfam by way of RNAcentral. RNAcentral also lists the same sequence under 1 other name.
UCCCUGGUGGCUCAGACUGUAAAGAAUCUGCUUGCGAUACAGGAGACCCAGGCUCGAUCCCUGGCUCGGGAA